CCUACGGGAGGCAGCAGUCGAGAAUCAUUCACAAUGGGGGAAACCCUGAUGGUGCGACGCCGCGUGGGGGAAUGAAGUUCUUCGGAUUGUAAACCCCUGUCAUGUGGGAGCAAAUUAAAACGAUCGUACCACAAGAGGCAGAGACGGCUAACUCUGUGCCAGCAGCCGCGGUAAUACAGAGGUCUCAAGCGUUGUUCGGAAUCACUGGGCGUAAGGCGUGCGUAGGCUGUUUCGUAAGUCGUGUGUGAAAGGCGCGGGCUCAACCCGCGGACGGCACAUGAUACUGCGAGACUAGAGUAAUGGAGGGGGAACCGGAAUUCUCGGUGUAGCAGUGAAAUGCGUAGAUAUCGAGAGGAACACUCGUGGCGAAGGCGGGUUCCUGGACAGUAACUGACGCUGAGGCACGAAGGCCAGGGGAGCGAAAGGGAUUAGAUACCCGGGUAGUC
RNAcentral lists this ribosomal RNA (446 nucleotides) under uncultured bacterium. Its description in RNAcentral is "partial 16S ribosomal RNA". It matches the Rfam family "Bacterial small subunit ribosomal RNA", at positions 338 to 795 of the family's 1533-position model. The record is from RNAcentral.